CGUCUUAUUUUUUGCUAUAAACAACUCAAAUAAUCAACAAUUCUUUGAUAUCACAACCAUGACGUCGUUAAAACAAGCCGUAUUACAUUCAUUAUUACAGAAGGAAAGUUUGUGCUGCUUGUGUUUCGCCGCACUUGGAUCUGAUCAUGUUUAUUUAGACGAUGAGGCGAUGGUGAACGAUUCUGGCAAUGUAAAGCUUGCUGAAGCGCUGAAUUAUAUCCUAGGAUGUGAUGUGAUGAAUAACUUAGCUUUCCAAACCGUAUGCGAUGAUUGUGUCGUAUCAACCAUACAAAGCUACAUGUUUAUCAAAAGAUGCAAAGGAAACACUGAAAACUUACAACAAGCCAUCGAAAAUCUAGAUAUUUCUUUACAAAACUCAACAAGCAAUCGAGAAUCAUGCAAGACAAUAUUUCUUUCUUUAGACUCGAGUCUUGACGCUCAAGUUUACUACGAUUAUAAAAACCCUGUUAGUUCACUUCCAAAAGCCUUGGCAAGAUUUAAAUAUGUCUCAUCUGAUGUAUGCAACGGUAAAUAUUACAUAGAGAGAUCUG
Long non-coding RNA from Cydia amplana, 551 nucleotides. RefSeq lists it as uncharacterized. NCBI's taxonomy places the organism in Eukaryota, Metazoa, Arthropoda, Insecta, Lepidoptera, Tortricidae. The record is from RefSeq and is a predicted model, not a curated record. The transcript has 2 exons.